Molecule: ribosomal RNA, 504 nt
Filed under: Triticum aestivum (bread wheat)
Lineage: Eukaryota; Viridiplantae; Streptophyta; Magnoliopsida; Poales; Poaceae
Description: partial small subunit ribosomal RNA
Source: RNAcentral
AUGGCGGAGACGGAGUACCGCUGCUUCGUGGGCGGCCUCGCCUGGGCCACCGACGACAACAACCUCCAGCAGGCCUUCAGCCAGUACGGCGAGAUCCUCGACGCCAAGAUCAUCAACGACCGCGAGACGGGGAGGUCCCGCGGGUUCGGCUUCGUCACGUUCGGCAGCGAGGAGUCGAUGCGCCAGGCCAUCGAGGAGAUGAACGGCAAGGAGCUCGACGGGCGCAACAUCACCGUCAACGAGGCCCAGUCCCGCCGCUCGGGCGGAGGGGGCGGCGGCGGCGGCGGCUACGGCGGCCAGCGCGGCGGUGGCGGAGGCUACGGCGGCGGCGGCGGCUACGGAGGCGGCGGCGGCGGCUACGGCGGCCAGGGCGGUGGCGGCUACGGCGGCCAGCGCGGUGGCGGCGGCGGCUACGGCGGCGGCGGCGGCUACGGCGGUGGUGGCGGCUACGGCGGCCAGCGCGGCGGUGGCGGCGGCGACUCCGGCGGCCAGUGGAGGAACUGA